This 1072-nucleotide ribosomal RNA is filed under the name Boana caingua (striped treefrog). Its description in RNAcentral is "partial 16S ribosomal RNA". It matches the Rfam family "Bacterial large subunit ribosomal RNA", at positions 845 to 2597 of the family's 2925-position model. Lineage: Eukaryota; Metazoa; Chordata; Amphibia; Anura; Hylidae. The record is from RNAcentral.
AUAGCUGGUUACUUGAUAAAAGAAUUUUAGUUCUACCUAAAGCCAAAUAAAGUUAAAUUAACUAACAUAUAUGCUUUAGAGUUAUUCAAAUAAGGUACAGCCUAUUUGAAUUAGGAGACAACCUAAACUAAUGGGUAAAAUACUUAUGCUGUACCAAAGUGGGCCUAAAAGCAGCCACCUUAAACAAUAGCGUCAAAGCUUCUCUACAUAAGUGUACUCAAUUUCGCACCCAAACCCAAACCCUUUAUUUUCAACAAGUAAUUCUAUACCCCUAUAGAACAUAAAAUGUUAAAACUAGUAACAAGAAGCAAACCCUUCUCUUAAAUGCAAGUGUAAGCCAGAAAGGAUAAACCACUGUCAAUUAACGCUAAUGAUUUUUAAUUAGCAACACCACAAGAAAACCCUAAUAAAACAAGUGUUAAACUAACACAAGAGCAUUUCAAGAAAGAUUAAAAGAAAAAGAAGGAACUCGGCAAACACCAACCCCGCCUGUUUACCAAAAACAUCGCCUCUUGAUAAACAUAAGAGGUCCAGCCUGCCCAGUGACCUAGUUCAACGGCCGCGGUAUCCUAACCGUGCGAAGGUAGCGUAAUCACUUGUUCUUUAAAUGAGGACUAGUAUGAAUGGCAUCACGAGGGUUACACUGUCUCCUUUUUUUAAUCAGUGAAACUAAUCUUCCCGUGAAGAAGCGGGAAUUUUUCUAUAAGACGAGAAGACCCUAUGGAGCUUUAAACAAAUUAACACCUGCUGCCUAAAAUACCUCUUUCAGAAGUACAACAUACAGCAUAGCAUGAUGAUUAAUAGUUUUCGAUUGGGGUGAUCACGGAGUAAAAAAUAACCUCCAUGCCGAAAGGACCCUUCCCUGAGCAAAAAGCCACAACUUUAAGCACUAAAAAAUUAACGUUAAUUGACCCAAUAUUUUGAUCAACGAACCAAGUUACCCUAGGGAUAACAGCGCAAUCCACUUCAAGAGCUCCUAUCGACAAGUGGGUUUACGACCUCGAUGUUGGAUCAGGGUAUCCCAGUGGUGCAGCCGCUACUAAUGGUUCGUUUGUUCAACGAUUAAAACCCU